Molecule: small RNA, 185 nt
Filed under: Spinactinospora alkalitolerans
Lineage: Bacteria; Bacillati; Actinomycetota; Actinomycetes; Streptosporangiales; Nocardiopsidaceae
Description: Marinactinospora sp. CXB654 Actinobacteria sRNA Ms_IGR-5
Rfam family: Actinobacteria sRNA Ms_IGR-5
Source: Rfam by way of RNAcentral
ACGCAAGAAAGGAGGUGGUCCAGAAGUGCAUUCUUUUAGGACUCGCGAGGUGUUCGCCCGCUAGGGCGACCCGUACUCGGAUCGCCCCUGGCGAAUCCACGGUGGACACCCAGACCCCCGGGUGGCCGGCCUUGUCCAGCCGGCCCCGUCGUACGACGGAAGUCACGCCCGGGGGUCCGUCCUGC